This is a long non-coding RNA of Girardinichthys multiradiatus, 1191 nucleotides long. RefSeq lists it as uncharacterized. Lineage: Eukaryota; Metazoa; Chordata; Actinopteri; Cyprinodontiformes; Goodeidae. The transcript has 3 exons. The record is from RefSeq and is a predicted model, not a curated record.
GAUUUGAGGGUGUUAAAGUUUUGUCUUAGGUUUUCUCUGAUUAUGUUUUCCAAAUUGUAUUUUUGGAUCCUGUUUCUGAUCUUUUUCCAGGUGGUGUUUUAGUUCUUUCCUUAAGUUUAGUUUCUCACGAUUCUUGUAGUCUGUUUUGAGUGCAUUUUAAGUUUAUGUUUCUUAGGUUUUAUGUCCACUCCUGCCAUAGCCUAUAAUCAGCUUCAUUUGGUCCACCUGCAGAAUACCAAUCAGUCUCACUGCUCCUCCAUUGCCAUGUCCAUAUAUGCACAGUCACUCCAUUCAUUCUCUGUGGAAACAUUCACUGGUCUCUGUCGUGCUGAGCCUUUCUGCUUUACCUGUCCAGUUGUCAUGCCUGCCUCUGUUACCACCUGCCUGAGCCAUUACUGUUCUGGUGGGGAUGUCCUUAUCCACACAGAUCAUUAAAUGGAUCCCUCGAAGCAACAGAUUUAUACACCGAGGGGAGAAAGGCAAGAUUAUGAUCUGCUUUGACAAGAGCAGGUCUAACAGUGAAAGUACAUGCAACCUUGACUUUGCAUAAUACAAAUCAAACAUCUAGUUUGACAAUUGUUGUCUCAAUUCACCCACUGCAUCCUUUGAAGGAAGUGUCUUUCAUACACUAUGUUUACAUUAUGCUGCAUUAUCUGAAGACCGCAAAGGCUUGAUGGAGUUCCAGUGGAAGAGACGUUCUAGCCUAGCUGGGCAAGACCAUCAAAAAUUUCAUGGAAAGAUGACAACCUGCUCCCACUUUUCCACGCAGACUCCAACAUGUGAUUUUAUUUUUGACAAAAGUUGACUUACCAAGGUAAAAUAGCUUUUAUAAAGCAGUGUGACUUUAAACAACAACAAUGUUAACAUUAGCUAGUUAAAAUAACCCAUGCUUCUAUCAAUUAAAGUAGCUACUCUUCUCUGCUUGGAGUUAUAGUUGGCAAAAUAAAAAUAAGGAAAUUCUGGUGUACUUAGUCUGUUUGGCUCAGAUUAGGACAUGUGGGUUUCCUGAAGUAAGACAAUGGCUGCUUAUGAGUUUUUAGGUUGAUCUAUUAUUUUAUACUUUUAAUGUCUGAUUCCUUGAACAUUUCAAGUGACAAAUUGUAUUGACUCAACUAUGAGGUCUAAACUAAGUUUGUAUUUGUAAGUGUGUGUGUGUGUUAUUUAGUAUUAUAAACUAAUUUCAUAAUUUCA